RNAcentral lists this ribosomal RNA (1968 nucleotides) under human gut metagenome. Its description in RNAcentral is "bacterial LSU rRNA". It matches the Rfam family "Bacterial large subunit ribosomal RNA", at positions 3 to 1980 of the family's 2925-position model. The record is from RNAcentral.
UCAAGUAAGUAAGGGCGUACGGCGGAUGCCUUGGCCAUAUCAGCCGAAGAAGGACGCGAUAAGCUGCGAUAAGCUGCGGUGAGGUGCAAGUAACCUUUGACCCGCAGAUCUCCGAAUGGGGAAACCCGGCAGCAGUAGUGCUGUCAUCCUCUAUGAGGAAGGGCACCCGGUGAACUGAAACAUCUAAGUAGCCGGAGGAAAAGGAAUCAACAGAGAUACCCCUAGUAGCGGCGAGCGAACGGGGCAGAGCCCAAACCGGGAUGGGAAACCAAUCCGGGGUUGUGGACUGCUAUCAAAUGCAUGAGUGAAGCAGAAUGAGCUGGGAAGCUCAGCCAGAGAGAGUGAGAGCCUCGUAGGCGUAAGCAAGUGCAUGGAGCAGGAUCCGGAGUACCACGGGACACGAGAAACCCUGUGGGAAGCUGGGGGGACCACCCUCCAAGGCGAAACACUGAUAUGGACCGAUAGCGCAUAGUACCGUGAGGGAAAGGUGAAAAGAACCCCGGGAGGGGAAUGAAAGAGAACCUGAAACCGUAUGUCUACAAGCAGUCGAAGACCUUUAUAUGGUCGACGGCGUGCCUAUUGAAGAAUGAACCGGCGAGUUACUUCAGCUAGCGAGGUUAAGCAGAAAAUGCGGAGCCGCAGCGAAAGCGAGUCUGAACAGGGCGUAUAGUUAGUUGGAGUAGACCCGAAACCACAGUGAUCUACCCAUGUCCAGGUUGAAGCACAGGUAAAAAUGUGUGGAGGACCGAACCAGUGAGCGUUGAAAAGCUUUUGGAUGAGAUGUGGGUAGGGGUGAAAUGCCAAUCGAACGUGGAGAUAGCUGGUUCUCCCCGAAAUAGCUUUAGGGCUAGCCUCAUGGCGAGAGUACAGGCGGUAGAGCACUGAACGGGGUAGGGGCCUAUCCGGCUACUGAACCUAAUCAAACUGCGAAUGGCUGUACUUAUCCAUGGGAGUCAGACUGUGAGUAAUAAGGCCCAUAGUCAAGAGGGAAACAGCCCAGACCAACAGCUAAGGUCCCCAAUGCCGUACUAAGUGGCGAAGGAUGUGGAAUUUCGAAAACAACCAGGAUGUUGGCUCAGAAGCAGCCACCAUUAAAAGAGUGCGUAAUAGCUCACUGGUCGAGAGACUCUGCGCCGAAGAUGUCCGGGGCUAAAGUACGGAACCGAAGCUUUGGCAAUUAACAUAAGUUAAUUGGGUAGGGGAGCGUUCCUGCAUGGGAGAAGCCUGACCGGAAGGACAGGUGGACAGGCAGGAAGAGAGAAUGCCGGUAUGAGUAGCGAAAAGAAGGGUGAGAAUCCCUUCCACCGAAAGCCUAAGGGUUCCUGGGCAACGAUCGUCGUCCCAGGGUAAGUCGGGACCUAAUCCGAGGCGGAGACGCGUAGGAGAUGGACAACAGGUUGAAAUUCCUGUACUGGCUGAGGCCGUUUGAGCGAAGGAGUGACACAGGAAGGAAGGCGCGCGUGCGAUUGGAAGAGCACGUCCAAGCAGGUAGGUCGGGAGACAGGCAAAUCCGUUUCCCGUAAGGCCGAGAUGCGAUGGGGAGCUUCUGGAGACAGAAGCGAAGGGGCUGGCACUAAACUGUCGAGAAAAGCUUCUAGUGAGGACUCAGGCACCCGUACCGAAACCGACACAGGUAGGCAGGAUGAGAAUUCUAAGGUGCGCGGGAAAACCCUCGUUAAGGAACUCGGCAAAAUAUAUCCGUAACUUCGGGAAAAGGAUAACCCAGCGUACGUGAAGUGCAGAAACGCAUGGAGCGGAGAUGGGUGGCAGAAGAGAGGCCCAAGCGACUGUUUACCACAAACACAGGCGUCUGCUAAAGCGAAAGCUGAUGUAUAGAUGCUGACACCUGCCCGGUGCUGGAAGGUUAAGAGGAAGUGUUAGCGCAAGCGAAGCAGUGAAUUGAAGCCCCAGUAAACGGCGGCCGUAACUAUAACGGUCCUAAGGUAGCGAAAUUCCUUGUCGGGUAAG